This 590-nucleotide ribosomal RNA is filed under the name uncultured Burkholderia sp. RNAcentral describes it as "bacterial SSU rRNA". It matches the Rfam family "Bacterial small subunit ribosomal RNA", at positions 418 to 1002 of the family's 1533-position model. The record is from RNAcentral. Lineage: Bacteria; Pseudomonadati; Pseudomonadota; Betaproteobacteria; Burkholderiales; Burkholderiaceae.
UCGGGUUGUAAAGCACUUUUGUCCGGAAAGAAAACUUCUGCCCUAAUACGGCGGGAGGAUGACGGUACCGGAAGAAUAAGCACCGGCUAACUACGUGCCAGCAGCGCGGUAAUCGUAGGGUGCGAGCGUUAAUCGGAAUUACUGGGCGUAAAGCGUGCGCAGGCGGUUCGUUAAGACAGAUGUGAAAUCCCCGGGCUUAACCUGGGAACUGCAUUUGUGACUGGCGAGCUAGAGUAUGGCAGAGGGGGGUAGAAUUCCACGUGUAGCAGUGAAAUGCGUAGAGAUGUGGAGGAAUACCGAUGGCGAAGGCAGCCCCCUGGGCCAAUACUGACGCUCAUGCACGAAAGCGUGGGGAGCAAACAGGAUUAGAUACCCUGGUAGUCCACGCCCUAAACGAUGUCAACUAGUUGUUGGGGAUUCAUUUCCUUAGUAACGUAGCUAACGCGUGAAGUUGACCGCCUGGGGAGUACGGUCGCAAGAUUAAAACUCAAAGGAAUUGACGGGGACCCGCACAAGCGGUGGAUGAAGGGGGAUUAAUUCGAUGCAACGCGAAAAACCUUACCUACCCUUGACAUGGUCGGACCCUGCUG